GGGUUGGUAGCAAACGUUGGCUUUGCAGCGGACUCUUAAUCCGUCUCAACGAGGGUUCGAUUCCCUCCCGACCCA
RNAcentral lists this transfer RNA (75 nucleotides) under Deltaproteobacteria bacterium. RNAcentral describes it as "tRNA-Lys". It matches the Rfam family "tRNA". From Rfam's summary of the family: Transfer RNA (tRNA) molecules are approximately 80 nucleotides in length. Their secondary structure includes four short double-helical elements and three loops (D, anti-codon, and T loops). Lineage: Bacteria; Pseudomonadati; Myxococcota; Myxococcia. The record is from RNAcentral.